UUUGUCCACUAAUUAUGGACCUGUAUGAAAGGCCACAUGAGAAUCUAACUGUCUCUUGUAAUUAAUUUAUAAAACUGAUCUUCCAGUCCAAAAGCUAGAAUAUCCAUAUAAGACGAGAAGACCCUGUGAAGCUUAAAAAACCCUAUUAAACCAAUUAAUAGGUAUUUUUAGUUGGGGCAACUUUGGAAAACAACCUAACUUCCAAACAAGAAAAACAAUACCCAACAAGACCUACAAGUCAACAAAGACCCAGUAUAACUGAUAAAUGAACCAAGUUACUCCAGGGAUAACAGCGCAAUCUUCUUCAAGAGCCCAUAUCAAAAAGAAGGUUUACGACCUCGAUGUUGGAUCAGGACACCCAAAUGGCGCAGCCGCUAUUAAAGGUUCGUUUGUUCAACGAUUAACAGU
Molecule: ribosomal RNA, 408 nt
Filed under: Typhlops schwartzi
Lineage: Eukaryota; Metazoa; Chordata; Lepidosauria; Squamata; Typhlopidae
Description: partial 16S ribosomal RNA
Rfam family: Bacterial large subunit ribosomal RNA
Source: RNAcentral